GGUGGGGGUUGGUGGGUGUAUAUGUGGAAGUCAGAGGACUACUUACUGAAGUUGGUGUUUUCCUUCCAACAUGUGGGUCCUGGGGGAUGAACUCAGCUUGUUAGGUACCUACCAAGUCUUCUGUUGUUCUCUUCUACUUCUUGAGACAGUGUUUUAGUCUGUAGCCUAGGCUAGUCAGGAACUUGCUAUGUAGGUAGCCCAGGCUAGCCUCCAAUUUUAACUCUUCCUGCUGCAGCCUCUCCAUGACUUGGGCUGGGUGUAAGCUCUGUCUGGCUCUGGGUUACUCAUGUGGCAUAGCCGUGGAGCUUUGUUUAAUAGGAGCCAAUGGAAUAUGUGGAGAAUGUUUGCCACGGGAAAUUACUUCUGUUUUGUGAUGGAAUUCUUGCCAAGAAAGAGUUCAAUAUUUAGAACCAUUUAGGCCAUUUCUGGUUUGAAUAAUAAACUGUUAUUAUUUGAUAUAAAGGAAUUCUAUCUUCUGUCCAUCUCCUUUUGGGGGACAUGUAAUGUUAUAAAUUUAUGACUGAGAUUUUUUUCUCAUGUUAGUAGGUCCAAGCACUCAGAUUUCUUCCUUAAGGAAACCUGAAGAGGAUGAUAUGGCUUACUUUGAAAGACAAUACCAGGAAAGGAUCAAAAUGGAAAAGGCUGCUAAGAAAGGAAAAGCGCUGCCGCCGCCAAGCACGCAGCCUUCCUGAAGUCGGCUGGACAGACCAAGCCGCCAUCCAGAUGCAUCUUGUAUUUAUUUAAGUUUACUU
RNAcentral lists this long non-coding RNA (752 nucleotides) under Rattus norvegicus (Norway rat). RNAcentral's name for it is "long non-coding RNA NONRATT020458". The record is from RNAcentral. Lineage: Eukaryota; Metazoa; Chordata; Mammalia; Rodentia; Muridae.